AGAGUUUGGAAUCCUGGCUCAGGAUGAACGCUGGCGGCGUGCCUAAUACAUGCAAGUCGAGCGAACGGACGAGAAGCUUGCUUCUCUGAUGUUAGCGGCGGACGGGUGAGUAACACGUGGAUAACCUACCUAUAAGACUGGGAUAACUUCGGGAAACCGGAGCUAAUACCGGAUAAUAUUUUGAACCGCAUGGUUCAAAAGUGAAAGACGGUCUUGCUGUCACUUAUAGAUGGAUCCGCGCUGCAUUAGCUAGUUGGUAAGGUAACGGCUUACCAAGGCAACGAUGCAUAGCCGACCUGAGAGGGUGAUCGGCCACACUGGAACUGAGACACGGUCCAGACUCCUACGGGAGGCAGCAGUAGGGAAUCUUCCGCAAUGGGCGAAAGCCUGACGGAGCAACGCCGCGUGAGUGAUGAAGGUCUUCGGAUCGUAAAACUCUGUUAUUAGGGAAGAACAUAUGUGUAAGUAACUGUGCACAUCUUGACGGUACCUAAUCAGAAAGCCACGGCUAACUACGUGCCAGCAGCCGCGGUAAUACGUAGGUGGCAAGCGUUAUCCGGAAUUAUUGGGCGUAAAGCGCGCGUAGGCGGUUUUUUAAGUCUGAUGUGAAAGCCCACGGCUCAACCGUGGAGGGUCAUUGGAAACUGGAAAACUUGAGUGCAGAAGAGGAAAGUGGAAUUCCAUGUGUAGCGGUGAAAUGCGCAGAGAUAUGGAGGAACACCAGUGGCGAAGGCGACUUUCUGGUCUGUAACUGACGCUGAUGUGCGAAAGCGUGGGGAUCAAACAGGAUUAGAUACCCUGGUAGUCCACGCCGUAAACGAUGAGUGCUAAGUGUUAGGGGGUUUCCGCCCCUUAGUGCUGCAGCUAACGCAUUAAGCACUCCGCCUGGGGAGUACGACCGCAAGGUUGAAACUCAAAGGAAUUGACGGGGACCCGCACAAGCGGUGGAGCAUGUGGUUUAAUUCGAAGCAACGCGAAGAACCUUACCAAAUCUUGACAUCCUUUGACAACUCUAGAGAUAGAGCUUUCCCCUUCGGGGGACAAAGUGACAGGUGGUGCAUGGUUGUCGUCAGCUCGUGUCGUGAGAUGUUGGGUUAAGUCCCGCAACGAGCGCAACCCUUAAGCUUAGUUGCCAUCAUUAAGUUGGGCACUCUAAGUUGACUGCCGGUGACAAACCGGAGGAAGGUGGGGAUGACGUCAAAUCAUCAUGCCCCUUAUGAUUUGGGCUACACACGUGCUACAAUGGACAAUACAAAGGGCAGCGAAACCGCGAGGUCAAGCAAAUCCCAUAAAGUUGUUCUCAGUUCGGAUUGUAGUCUGCAACUCGACUACAUGAAGCUGGAAUCGCUAGUAAUCGUAGAUCAGCAUGCUACGGUGAAUACGUUCCCGGGUCUUGUACACACCGCCCGUCACACCACGAGAGUUUGUAACACCCGAAGCCGGUGGAGUAACCUUUUAGGAGCUAGCCGUCGAAGUGGGACAAAUGAUUGGGGUGAAGUCGUAACAAGGUAGCCGUAC
RNAcentral lists this ribosomal RNA (1518 nucleotides) under Staphylococcus aureus. RNAcentral describes it as "partial 16S ribosomal RNA". It matches the Rfam family "Bacterial small subunit ribosomal RNA". The record is from RNAcentral. Lineage: Bacteria; Bacillati; Bacillota; Bacilli; Caryophanales; Staphylococcaceae.